UACGGAGGGUGCAAGCGUUAUCCGGAUUCACUGGGUUUAAAGGGUGCGUAGGUGGGAAUGUAAGUCAGUGGUGAAAUCUCCGUGCUUAACAUGGAAACUGCCAUUGAUACUAUGUUUCUUGAAUUAUCUGGAGGUAAGCGGAAUAUGUCAUGUAGCGGUGAAAUGCUUAGAUAUGACAUAGAACACCAAUUGCGAAGGCAGCUCACUACUCAAUCAUUGACUCUGAGGCACGAAAGCGUGGGGAUCAAACAGG
This 253-nucleotide ribosomal RNA is filed under the name uncultured bacterium. Its description in RNAcentral is "partial 16S ribosomal RNA". It matches the Rfam family "Bacterial small subunit ribosomal RNA", at positions 524 to 776 of the family's 1533-position model. The record is from RNAcentral.